This 465-nucleotide ribosomal RNA is filed under the name uncultured bacterium. Its description in RNAcentral is "partial 16S ribosomal RNA". It matches the Rfam family "Bacterial small subunit ribosomal RNA", at positions 338 to 795 of the family's 1533-position model. The record is from RNAcentral.
CCUACGGGAGGCAGCAGUCGGGAAUAUUGCGCAAUGGAGGAAACUCUGACGCAGUGACGCCGCGUGCAGGAAGAAGGUUUUCGGAUCGUAAACCUCUGUCAGCAGGGAAGAACGGUCACUGUGCUAAUCAGCAGUGAAUUGACGGUACCUGCAAAGGAAGCACCGGCUAACUCCGUGCCAGCAGCCGCGGUAAUACGGAGGGUGCGAGCGUUAAUCGGAAUGACUGGGCGUAAAGCGCUCGUAGGCGGUAUGUCAAGUCAAGGGUGAAAUCCCCGCGCUCAACGUGGGAACUGCCUUUGAAACUGGCAAACUGGGGUGUGUGAGAGGAUAGUGGAAUUUCAGGUGUAGGAGUGAAAUCCGUAGAUAUCUGGAGGAACAUCAGUGGCGAAGGCGACUAUCUGGCACAUAACUGACGCUGAGGAGCGAAAGCGUGGGUAGCAAACAGGAUUAGAUACCCGUGUAGUC